This 106-nucleotide non-coding RNA is filed under the name Clostridium sp. RNAcentral's name for it is "SAM-I sequence". It matches the Rfam family "SAM riboswitch aptamer (S box leader)". From Rfam's summary of the family: The SAM riboswitch is found upstream of a number of genes which code for proteins involved in methionine or cysteine biosynthesis in Gram-positive bacteria. The SAM riboswitch acts at the level of transcription termination control. Lineage: Bacteria; Bacillati; Bacillota; Clostridia; Eubacteriales; Clostridiaceae. The record is from RNAcentral. RNAcentral also lists the same sequence under 1 other name.
CCAUAAAGAGAAGGUGAGAGACAAGCUCAAUGACCCUUCAGCAACCCCUACUUACUAGCUCGGUGCUAAAGCUUGAAUGAUGGAUUAACAUUAAGGUCCAUUAUGG